GGUGGAGAGCUGAGAGAUUCGAGUGUGCCUUCGGGAACUCUGAGACAGGUGCUGCAUGGCUGUCGUCAGCUCGUGUUGUGAAAUGUUGGGUUAAGUCCCGCAACGAGCGCAACCCUUAUCCUUGUUUGCCAGCACUUCGGGUGGGAACUCCAGGGAGACUGCCGGUGAUAAACCGGAGGAAGGUGGGGACGACGUCAAGUCAUCAUGGCCCUUACGAGUAGGGCUACACACGUGCUACAAUGGCAUAUACAGAGGGCAGCAAGACCGCGAGGUGGAGCGAAUCCCAGAAAGUAUGUCGUAGUCCGGAUCGGAGUCUGCAACUCGACUCCGUGAAGUCGGAAUCGCUAGUAAUCGUGGAUCAGAAUGCCACGGUGAAUACGUUCCCGGGUCUUGUAACACACCGA
This 404-nucleotide ribosomal RNA is filed under the name uncultured bacterium. RNAcentral describes it as "bacterial SSU rRNA". It matches the Rfam family "Bacterial small subunit ribosomal RNA", at positions 990 to 1393 of the family's 1533-position model. The record is from RNAcentral.